AGCCCAAACUCUAGCCCAACCACCACUAAACAUCUACCGAUCAGAACCUAACUACCCGAAUACACCUACAACCAAAACAUUUUCAUUGUCCUAGUAUAGGAGAUAGAACAGACACUUGGAGCAAUAGACCUACAGUACCGUAAGGGAAAGAUGAAAUAGCAAUGAAAAUAUUAAAGCAACAAAACAGCAAAGAUAAACCCUUGUACCUUUUGCAUCAUGGUUUAGCAAGAAUAACCAAACAAAACGACUUGAAGUUUGCCCCCCCGAAACCCGAGCGAGCUACUGGCAAGCAGCUAUUUAUGAGCAAACCCGUCUCUGUUGCAAAAGAGUGGGAAGACUUGCUAGUAGAGGUGAAAAGCCAAUCGAGCCGGGUGAUAGCUGGUUGCCUGUAAAAUGAACCUAAAUUCGCCCUUAAUCUAACCCAAAAGACCGCUUAAAUGCCUGCCCGUACAGAUUAAGAGUUAUUUAAAGGGGGUACAGCCCCUUUAAAAAAGAAUACAAUCUCCACCAGAGGAUAAGCACCAGCCCAUUACUCAGCCUGUAGGCCUUUAAGCAGCCAUCAACAAAGAGUGCGUCAAAGCUCCAUAAGCCUAAAAAUUCCAGAACAAUGCGACUCCCUCACCCCMAACAGGCUAACCUAUAAUAAUAGGAGAACCAAUGCUAGAAUAAGUAACUAGGAAACAACAUUCCUCCCAGGCACAAACUUACAUCUCUCAUUAUUAACAGACCAAUCAAUACUGCAUAAACCCAACAAGAUCUUAGUAUUAAAUCCUAAGCCCUGUUACCCCAACCCAGGAGUGCCAAAAUAAUCAGAAAGAUUCAAACCUGUAAAAGGAACUAGGCAAAACCUAAGGCCCGACUGUUUACCAAAAACAUAGCCUUCAGCUAACCAAGUAUUGAAGGUGAUGCCUGCCCAGUGACACUAAGUUCAACGGCCGCGGUAUCCUAACCGUGCAAAGGUAGCGCAAUCAAUUGUCCCAUAAAUCGAGACUUGUAUGAACGGCUAAACGAGGUCUUAACUGUCUCUUACAGGCAAUCAGUGAAAUUGAUCUCCCCGUGCAAAAGCAGGGAUAAGCACAUAAGACGAGAAGACCCUGUGGAACUUAAAAAUCAGCAGCCACUUAAAACUAACUCCAAACCUACCCAGGAUUACAGACAAAAACAGCCUGGCCUGCAUUUUUCGGUUGGGGCGACCUUGGAGAAAAAUAAACCCUCCAAAAAUAAGACCACAACUCUUGACCAAGAGCAACACCUCAACGUACUAAUAGUAACCAGACCCAGUACAGCUGAUCAAUGGACCAAGCUACCCCAGGGAUAACAGCGCAAUCCCCUUCAAGAGCCCAUAUCGACAAGGGGGUUUACGACCUCGAUGUUGGAUCAGGACAUCCUAAUGGUGCAGCCGCUAUUAAGGGUUCGUUUGUUCAACGAUUAAUCAGUCCUACGUGAUCUGAGUUCAGACCGGAGCAAUCCAGGUCGGUUUCUAUCUAUGAUAAACUUUUCCCAGUACGAAAGGACCGGAGAAGUAAGGCCAAUACUACAAGCACGCCUUCACCAAAGUAAUGAACCAAUCUAAAUUACUUAAUAAUACCUCCACUAACCUAUCCGAAAUAAGGAUC
RNAcentral lists this ribosomal RNA (1616 nucleotides) under Nesotrochis steganinos (Haitian cave-rail). RNAcentral's name for it is "16S ribosomal RNA". The record is from RNAcentral. Lineage: Eukaryota; Metazoa; Chordata; Aves; Gruiformes; Rallidae.